RNAcentral lists this unclassified non-coding RNA (200 nucleotides) under soil metagenome. RNAcentral's name for it is "partial contains internal transcribed spacer 2 and large subunit ribosomal RNA". The record is from RNAcentral.
GUUCGAGCGUCAUUACAACCCUCAAGCACUGCUUGGUGUUGGGCCUCGCCGGUUUUGGCGGGCCUUAAAAUCAGUGGCGGUGCCGUCUGGGUUCUGAGCGUAGUAAAUAUCCUCGCUACGGAGACCAGGCGGUUCUUGUCAUCAACCCCCAACUUCUUAAGUUUGACCUCGGAUCAGGUAGGGAUACCCGCUGAACUUAA